GACGAACGCUGGCGGCGUGCCUAAUACAUGCAAGUUGAGCGAUGAAGCUUGGUGCUUGCACCAAUUUGAAGAGCAGCGAACGGGUGAGUAACGCGUGGGGAAUCUGCCUUUGAGCGGGGGACAACAUUUGGAAACGAAUGCUAAUACCGCAUAACAACUUUAAACAUAAGUUUUAAGUUUGAAAGAUGCAAUUGCAUCACUCAAAGAUGAUCCCGCGUUGUAUUAGCUAGUUGGUGAGGUAAAGGCUCACCAAGGCGAUGAUACAUAGCCGACCUGAGAGGGUGAUCGGCCACAUUGGGACUGGGACACGGCCCAAACUCCUACGGGAGGCAGCAGUAGGGAAUCUUCGGCAAUGGACGAAAGUCUGACCGAGCAACGCCGCGUGAGUGAAGAAGGUUGUCGGAUCGUAAAACUCUGUUGGUAGAGAAGAACGUUGGUGAGAGUGGAAAGCUCAUCAAGUGACGGUAACUACCCAGAAAGGGACGGCUAACUACGUG
RNAcentral lists this ribosomal RNA (497 nucleotides) under uncultured bacterium. Its description in RNAcentral is "partial 16S ribosomal RNA". It matches the Rfam family "Bacterial small subunit ribosomal RNA", at positions 28 to 507 of the family's 1533-position model. The record is from RNAcentral.